RNAcentral lists this ribosomal RNA (425 nucleotides) under uncultured bacterium. RNAcentral's name for it is "bacterial SSU rRNA". It matches the Rfam family "Bacterial small subunit ribosomal RNA", at positions 354 to 796 of the family's 1533-position model. The record is from RNAcentral.
GUGGGGAAUAUUGGACAAUGGGCGCAAGCCUGAUCCAGCCAUGCCGCGUGAGUGAUGAAGGCCCUAGGGUUGUAAAGCUCUUUCACCGGUGAAGAUAAUGACGGUAACCGGAGAAGAAGCCCCGGCUAACUUCGUGCCAGCAGCCGCGGUAAUACGAAGGGGGCUAGCGUUGUUCGGAAUUACUGGGCGUAAAGCGCACGUAGGCGGGUAUUUAAGUCAGGGGUGAAAUCCCGGAGCUCAACUCCGGAACUGCCUUUGAUACUGGGUACCUAGAGUAUGGAAGAGGUAAGUGGAAUUCCGAGUGUAGAGGUGAAAUUCGUAGAUAUUCGGAGGAACACCAGUGGCGAAGGCGGCUUACUGGUCCAUUACUGACGCUGAGGUGCGAAAGCGUGGGGAGCAAACAGGAUUAGAAACCCUAGUAGUCC